Pelobates cultripes (western spadefoot toad) is the source of this 558-nucleotide non-coding RNA. The record is from the annotation of a GenBank genome assembly. NCBI's taxonomy places the organism in Eukaryota, Metazoa, Chordata, Amphibia, Anura, Pelobatidae.
CGUGAAUGAAUUUUCAGGCAAUAUCUAGAUACUGUCCACAAUAUAGUCUAUUCUGUAUUGAUUCACAUCUUCCUUUAGGCUGUUAUAAAAAGUCUAUUACAAAAAGUAUAACCUCAUUUUUUUCCCAAACAUUUACUAAAGCCCAAUUUUCUCCUCUCAGUUAUUAUUCCGCAAACGCAUUGUUAGAUAUAGAAAAUAACAUAGCAGCACAGCCUAUUUGCAGCCAUAAAUUCCUUUUUGUUUCAUGUAUAUAAUGGUUUUGAGUUUUUAUUUUGCAGUUGGGCUACUUAAUAUUUUAAUACUUAAUAUAAAAAACAUAAACUGCAAAUCUGUGGUUGUGUUAAUGAAGGACAGAAUAUAUGACAAUGAACUUCAUUUUUUCAAUUCUGCUAUUCUGAAUGGUUACAGUUGAUUAACUCAAAAUGACUGACAUUAUCAUUUCACAGAUAUGUGUUAAAGGGAUAAUGAUUACAUAUGAGAGACUACAAAUGAAAAAUCAUAUCUAAGAAGCCCGAUUAGAAAAAUAAUUGCAUAGACGGAGCAGAUCCUAGAGAUAAU